AACCAACAGGGAUUGCCUCAGUAACGGCGAGUGAAGCGGCAACAGCUCAAAUUUGAAAUCUGGCUCUUUCAGGGUCCGAGUUGUAAUUUGUAGAAGAUGCUUCGGGUGUGGUUCCGGUCUAAGUUCCUUGGAACAGGACGUCAUAGAGGGUGAGAAUCCCGUAUGUGACCGGCUACCUUCGCUCAUGUGAAGCUCUUUCGACGAGUCGAGUUGUUUGGGAAUGCAGCUCAAAAUGGGUGGUAAAUUUCAUCUAAAGCUAAAUAUUGGCCAGAGACCGAUAGCGCACAAGUAGAGUGAUCGAAAGAUGAAAAGCACUUUGGAAAGAGAGUUAAAUAGUACGUGAAAUUGUUGAAAGGGAAGCGCUUGCAAUCAGACUUGCACGCAGUUGAUCAUCCGGUGUUCUCACCGGUGCACUCUGCUGCGUUCAGGCCAGCAUCGGUUCUGGUGGUUGGAUAAAGGCCUUGGGAAUGUAGCUCCUUUCGGGGAGUGUUAUAGCCCUCGGUGCAAUGCAGCCUACCGGGACCGAGGACCGCGCUUCGGCUAGGAUGCUGGCGUAAUGGUUGUAAGCGACCCGUCUUGAAACACGGACCAAGGAGUCUAACAUCUAUGCGAGUGUUUGGGUGUCAAACCCAUACGCGUAAUGAAAGUGAACGGAGGUGAGAACCCUUAAGGGUGCAUCAUCGACCGAUCCUGAUGUCUUCGGAUGGAUUUGAGUAAGAGCAUAGCUGUUGGGACCCGAAAGAUGGUGAACUAUGCGUGAAUAGGGUGAAGCCAGAGGAAACUCUGGUGGAGGCUCGCAGCGGUUCUGACGUGCAAAUCGAUCGUCAAAUUGCGCAUAGGG
RNAcentral lists this ribosomal RNA (841 nucleotides) under Rhytismatales sp. RNAcentral describes it as "partial large subunit ribosomal RNA". It matches the Rfam family "Eukaryotic large subunit ribosomal RNA", at positions 63 to 922 of the family's 3401-position model. The record is from RNAcentral. Lineage: Eukaryota; Fungi; Ascomycota; Leotiomycetes; Rhytismatales.